GAUGAACGCUGGCGGCGUGCCUAAUACAUGCAAGUCGAGCGAACAGACGAGGAGCUUGCUCCUCUGACGUUAGCGGCGGACGGGUGAGUAACACGUGGAUAACCUACCUAUAAGACUGGGAUAACUUCGGGAAACCGGAGCUAAUACCGGAUAAUAUAUUGAACCGCAUGGUUCAAUAGUGAAAGACGGUUUUGCUGUCACUUAUAGAUGGAUCCGCGCCGCAUUAGCUAGUUGGUAAGGUAACGGCUUACCAAGGCAACGAUGCGUAGCCGACCUGAGAGGGGGAUCGGCCAAACUGGAACUGAGACACGGUCCAGACUCCUACGGGAGGCAGCAGUAGGGAAUCUUCCGGAAUGGGCGAAAGCCUGACGGAGCAACGCCGCGGGGGGGAUGAAGGUCUUCGGAUCGUAAAACUCUGUUAUUAGGGAAGAACAAAUGUGUAAGUAACUAUGCACGUCUUGACGGUACCUAAACAGAAAGGCACGGCUAACUACGUG
RNAcentral lists this ribosomal RNA (497 nucleotides) under uncultured bacterium. RNAcentral describes it as "partial 16S ribosomal RNA". It matches the Rfam family "Bacterial small subunit ribosomal RNA", at positions 28 to 507 of the family's 1533-position model. The record is from RNAcentral.